This 73-nucleotide transfer RNA is filed under the name bacterium. RNAcentral's name for it is "tRNA-Glu". It matches the Rfam family "tRNA". From Rfam's summary of the family: Transfer RNA (tRNA) molecules are approximately 80 nucleotides in length. Their secondary structure includes four short double-helical elements and three loops (D, anti-codon, and T loops). The record is from RNAcentral. RNAcentral also lists the same sequence under 1 other name.
GGCCCUAUCGUCUAGCGGUCUAGGACACGGCCCUCUCAAGGCUGAAACACGGGUUCAAGUCCCGUUAGGGCUA